CGUGCGGUGAAACGGGGUACUGCACUCUUGGAGUUCAGGCGAUCACAUCCAAACUAGCAUUACCUAGAGAAGCCCAGGUGAAGGUGACGUUCUCUGAGUACCGUAUCAACGUUUUUGGACCAGUUACUUUCGGUCGUGACACUUAAAGAAUAAUAACUAUAACAACUCUGAGGUUUUAAAUCAGUCGUUGUGUGACCCGCUACCAAAAAGUUAAAAGUUUAGCAACGUCUUUCAAAUGAACGGUCGUCACGGUGACGGUUGUAAGCUAGCUAACGUCAGUUAAACGCUAGUUGUAAGCUAGCUAGUUUUACAGUAUUGCUAGUUAUGGCAGCAGCUACGGUUUAAUAUCUAAUAUUGAUAUUGGCCACAACCCCCCCAAUGGAGGAUUUGAGGAAGACAUCCAUCUUUAAAUAGCAUUGCCCCCAAAAUGGCUGGUGGAUGACUUCUGGGUCCUGGCAGUGACUCUAGAUUUUGAGAUUUGACUGGGAAUUGCAAGAAAGGAAAGAUGCCGUACCGACUAUACACAACGUCCAAACAUGCAAUUUACCAUCUGCACUGAGAGACACGUUUGACAACGCUUCAUUUUACAGCUGCACAACUUCCAUGGUUUGGACGACGGACUUGGUUUCAGCGAGGCUGCUCACAGACGGACGUCCGGCCCGUCAUCUCUCUGAGACACUCUGGUCACACAAAGCUCCAGAGGAAAAGAAGACGAGCACCAGCCGGCAGGUCGGGAGGGACUGCAGCAGGUGAACAGCGCAGGGAACACAUGGAUAACAUCUCUCCUGCAUCUGCUCGCUGAAAGCUUCCAUCUGCCUUGGCAACAACAGAGACAAUCGGUGGGAGGGAGAGACGGGAAGAACGCACACAACGCUACACAAAAGGAAAAAUAAAGUUGAAGAAUAAAGUGUGGAGGUGUGGGAGAAGACAACAAGAGGAGGUGGAAGAGGAACUGAUACACAUCAGAUCUCACAAGUGUUUUUUUCUGCAUUUUUCUGUGGAUCUGCACUCAAACGCUGGAGCCUCAUCACACAAACACAAACAGGUUAUUUCAGCUGCCGUUGUGUCUCUGAGUGAAUUCAAACCUUCAGGGCGAGUCGUGACGCUUCCUGUGUGCUGAACUUUCUCACAAACGCAGAUCAGAUGUCGUUUGGCUCUGAUCCGAUCACAUUCAUGAAUCAAAUCGGUGCGUGCUGUGAGUGUUUACACUUUGCGUGAACUCCGUCUCCACGUAAGACAUUAAGAUUUAUAUCACAUUAUAACAGUUGGGCUGAAUGCACUGAGAUUACCUUUGACUGUGACGGAGACUUUAAGGAGAACAAACUUCAUACCUACAUGAACUCUACAGGCAGGACUGAAAGCAGCUGUAUGGAUUAUUCUCCCAGAUAAAUCGAGGAAUUGUUUGUCUAUAAAAUGCCAGUAAUUGUACCAGACACCUUCUUCUGGCCCUCAUACGUCAUGAUGGCACCUGGGCGCUUGUCAAUAAAGCAGAACUGGCCCAUAUCUGCGCCAGAUCCUGCCCGCCACAAUACGACUGUGGCCCACAUUUGGACCCGUUCAGGUUCAAUCAGUUCGCUCUUGGCUGACCUGCUGUGGCCUGUUCGUGGCUCAGAUCUGACAAACAAGAUGCCCGAUGAUCCUGCACCGUACGUGGGCCAGGAGAACCAAUCUGGUAUCUGAGAGGUGACGUUUUCAGAUUCCUUUUUGUGUCCAAUCAGCUGUCCAUAAAGCAAAGACUCUUCAUUUACAAUAUGAAUGACAAAGAAACACAUCAGAUCUUUACACUUAAUGAACUGGAACCAGCAAAUGUUUGACAUUUUUCCUCUUUUUUGAGAAAGAGUCACUAGAGGGGUCUGAAUAAUCAUUACAUCCAGCGAGAGGCAUUCUCACCAACAGCCAGUUUACACAGACUGGAGUGAAACCUUUCAGCUCCAUGACGGCUCGGAGGAGGACCGGACACAGAACUGGUCCUCCAGUCAUGUUGCUCCAGUAUGAAAAUCCAGAGAACAUCUUCAUCUUCUAUGGACAGCUCAGGGGUCCAACUGUCCAAGUCUCUGUAUUUUUUUCUAGUUAUUAAUUAGAAUCCUGUAGAUGAUUCAAUCGGUACUAGACACCAGCUCCAGAUCCAACAAUCAGAACAACAGAUUUAGUUCACAUAACUCUGUUAAUAAAACAGCUCAGGAUAGAUAACUGUUCUGUUUUGAUUGUAUCUAGGGUGAAAGACUUGUUUCUUUUAUUUAUCUUGUCUCUUUGUUGGACGUCUCUCUGGAAACUUCACGAUUCCCGACAGAAACCUGGAACACAUUGAGUCCAAAUGAUCUGCCAGCAGAUGAAAAAUGGCCGCUUGGGGUUUAUAAAAGAUGACUGGGAUGGUAAAAAUACUGCAGAGUGGGACACUCCUUCAUAUGUUCCUCUGUGUGUGUGUAAAAUGUUAGUGAGCACCUGCUGACUGAGUUAUGGAAGCUGACAAAUAAUACAAACAUGUUUUUACUUUAUUUGGCAAGAGAAGUUGUUAGAUUAAUAGAAAAUCACAAAAAAAUCACAAAAAUGGCAACAAAAACUCUUAGGAACUUUAAGUAACCUCGCCCACAGAUCCUGUGGUCACUGAAAAUGUUAUCGGUACGUUUCUGUCAGCUGUUACUGCGACUGAUGAAUGAACAGCUGAUGAACAACCAUCCUCACAUGGUUAACUGUUAAUGUUAGUAUUGAUAUAAACAAUAUAUGUGUGUUGCUGAAACAUUGUUUGACACAAAGAGUGUACGAGAUUCAACAUGUUACAGUUUUUACUCGUUCUGCCAGACUCACCUCACUCUCAGGGCAAACGAUGACGGUACAAACAGCACAUUUAUAUAUUUCUUUAUUCAAACUCUUUUUAUGGUUAGUAAACAAGCAAAACUAAAACUUAAAGUUAUUUACAGUCUGCAACUCUCCUCUCGUUAGAUAGAACUGAAGAAUACAUUUGGAUGAGCGGUGAAACAUUUCCAGGAAACUGAAUCGAAUCCAGUUGCUGAUACAGCAAUUAGGAUUACCACCGAGAACCUUCAUCAACAUAUUUUAAAGGAUUUUAAUGUAACUGCUUUUUUUUUUAUAUAUAUAUAAUCUUUUUAAAGCAUUUUCUCAAUAAUGCACUGUAGCUUUUUCAAUUUAAAUAUCCUUAUUUAUUCAUGUUGCCACUGUUUUCAGGCUCCAUCAGCUGCGUCCAGCGUCACCUAGAUAUAAGUGGAAUGAACUGUCAGUUUUUAGAAUCAGCUUUGAUAUGGUGUAAAAAAAAUAAAAAAAAAAAGAAUUACAUAACAUCAACAUAAGCCUGGAUCAAUGUCAUAAAGGCCUCAAAAUAGGACACGUCCUGGGCCUGAACAUAUGUUGCCUUCACGGUGAAUUUGAUGGCAGUCGGAGUCAGAGGAGUGAUGACCUCACAUCCGUGUCAUCAGGGACCCUCUACAUGGUCAAACACGAACAGACGUGUGAGUGUGUGAAAGUGUCUUUGAGAUCUGAAUCGUUGUAUAACAGGAUUCACCAUCAUCCACAGAUGCAAAGGAAAAGAAAUGCGCUUAUUUUGUUUCUUGCUUUUGUACAGAUCGAACAAACGAGACAAAACGUGUUCACUUCAGAGCUUUAGUUGAAUUUACAUUCAGAUCUUUGACUGUAUGAAAUAGCGACGGACCUUUAAGGUCUGAAAAGUGAAGCCAAUGCUGAAGUGAACAUCAUUAAUUCUACUGACCAGCAGGGGGCAGUACCACUGGUUGCAGAAAAAAGUUUGAUAGUUUAAAAGCUCAUGAGAAAAUGAUCUUACUUCUCACCUGAUAUAUAACCUCAGUAAACAGACUCCAAACGAGUUUUUGGUCUCGAUCUCUACUUUUACAUCUUCUUCACUACAGCAUGAUGUUCAUUUUGUAAAUUAUGGCUACGUUUAGCGUACAGUAGUCAAUACAGGUGAUGCUUAAGGGUGUCGCUGGAGACGUAGUCACUUCUGGCCCCAAAAAUCUAAGAUGGUGACGGCCAUGAUGACAAAAAAUGUCCACAAACAAAUCGGCGACAUCACAGUUGGUUUGCGGUUUCCGGUUUCCUCCUGUUUACAGUCUUUAUGCUAAGCUAAACUAACCGGCUGCUAGCUGUAUCAGUAUAUGAUGACCUGGGAAUGAGACUCAACAGUCGACCAUGUUUCUCCUGGAAGUCACAUUUUACUACUUUAUUAUAAACAACUUUACACAGAGAGAGACUGUACUGAUAGAGAACAUUAAACCCAAACAUCUCCCAAACAUUAAAAUCUGCUACCUGUCCUGGCCUAUGUAAUGUAUUUCCACAGGUAUUUUCAGGAGCUCUCGUGUUGGUCCAGCAGACAUCACGUGCACUCACAUACUUUUCUACGCAGAAAUACGUCCAAACAGACGGACAGCGAGUCUCCCUGCUCAGCACUAAUGGCCUGUCUGUUUACAAGCUAACUGACGUGGAUGUAAGAGGUUUCAAGUGGGAACCUCCACACACACACACACACACACACACACACACACACACACCGCCCCUCUCUCCUGCUGUAAAAGUAUUUACUGCCUGUAGACAAGUCGUAUUUAUGAAAAGUUUCCCUCGUAGAAGUCACGCAAAUCCAAACAAGCUGCGACUGAUAACAUGUUUGUGUUCUCGGUUCUCUUGGUGUCC
RNA transcript from Acanthopagrus latus (yellowfin seabream), 4656 nucleotides. It is a transcript of the gene named mucin-1-like, with no coding region annotated. The transcript is spliced from 5 exons. The record is from RefSeq and is a predicted model, not a curated record. Lineage: Eukaryota; Metazoa; Chordata; Actinopteri; Spariformes; Sparidae.